This 443-nucleotide ribosomal RNA is filed under the name uncultured bacterium. Its description in RNAcentral is "partial 16S ribosomal RNA". It matches the Rfam family "Bacterial small subunit ribosomal RNA", at positions 338 to 795 of the family's 1533-position model. The record is from RNAcentral.
CCUACGGUGAGCAGCAGUGGGGAAUAUUGGACAAUGGGGGGAACCCUGAUCCAGCGACGCCGCGUGAGUGAAGAAGUAUUUCGGUAUGUAAAGCUCUAUCAGCAGGGAAGAAAGAAAUGACGGUACCUGACUAAGAAGCCCCGGCUAACUACGUGCCAGCAGCCGCGGUAAUACGUAGGGGGCAAGCGUUAUCCGGAUUUACUGGGUGUAAAGGGAGCGUAGACGGCGAUGCAAGUCUGAAGUGAAAGGCGGGGGCCCAACCCCCGGACUGCUUUGGAAACUGUAUGGCUGGAGUGCAGGAGAGGUAAGUGGAAUUCCUAGUGUAGCGGUGAAAUGCGUAGAUAUUAGGAGGAACACCAGUGGCGAAGGCGGCUUACUGGACUGUAACUGACGUUGAGGCUCGAAAGCGUGGGGAGCAAACAGGAUUAGAUACCCGGGUAGUC